Molecule: ribosomal RNA, 285 nt
Filed under: uncultured Coriobacteriaceae bacterium
Lineage: Bacteria; Bacillati; Actinomycetota; Coriobacteriia; Coriobacteriales; Coriobacteriaceae
Description: partial 16S ribosomal RNA
Rfam family: Bacterial small subunit ribosomal RNA
Source: RNAcentral
AGCGCAACCCCUGUCCCAUGUUGCCAGCAUUCAGUUGGGGACUCAUGGGAGACUGCCGGCGUCAAGCCGGAGGAAGGUGGGAUGACGUCAAGUCAUCAUGCCCCUUAUGUCCUGGGCUGCACACGUGCUACAAUGGCCGGCACAAUGGGCUGCGAUGCCGCGAGGCGGAGCGAAUCCCAUAAAACCGGUCCCAGUUCGGAUCGAAGGCUGCAACUCGCCUUCGUGAAGUCGGAGUUGCUAGUAAUCGCGGAUCAGCAUGCCGCGGUGAAUACGUUCCCGGGCCUU